CUUGGGAUAGCUAGUGUCGGAGUUUCCGACGUUUUGUAUUCGGGUUGAAUACAAAGGAUAGUGGAUUGAAAUUUCCAAGUGGGAUCUUGGAGAGUGGAUGUAGGUGCAAGGUUAGCACCGAACCACUAUAAAUCCUUGUGUUUGUGGUGUGCUUUAUCGCUUCACUUUAUUUCUUUAUUAUAUUCUUGCAUUCCUGCUUUAGAUAAUUAAUAUUGAAUUAAAGUCUUUAUUUUGUUCUUCAUAAGUAAUCAGUUGGGCUUAAAAUUUUUAGAAACCCAAUUCACCCCCCC
RNAcentral lists this long non-coding RNA (290 nucleotides) under Elaeis guineensis (African oil palm). RNAcentral's name for it is "long non-coding RNA (EGUI_LNC043490)". The record is from RNAcentral. Lineage: Eukaryota; Viridiplantae; Streptophyta; Magnoliopsida; Arecales; Arecaceae.